UUAAUUGAAACCAAAAAAGAGGUUUAUCACUGUUAAUGAUACCAAUGAGUAUUUCUCCAAUUAAA
Molecule: transfer RNA, 65 nt
Filed under: Curculionidae sp. BMNH 1274272
Lineage: Eukaryota; Metazoa; Arthropoda; Insecta; Coleoptera; Curculionidae
Description: tRNA-Asn
Source: RNAcentral